CGGGGCGUGGCGCAGCCUGGUAGCGCGCCAGCUUUGGGAGCUGGAUGCCUGAGGUUCAAAUCCUCUCGCCCCGACCA
RNAcentral lists this transfer RNA (77 nucleotides) under Desulfovibrio sp. RNAcentral describes it as "tRNA-Pro". It matches the Rfam family "tRNA". From Rfam's summary of the family: Transfer RNA (tRNA) molecules are approximately 80 nucleotides in length. Lineage: Bacteria; Pseudomonadati; Thermodesulfobacteriota; Desulfovibrionia; Desulfovibrionales; Desulfovibrionaceae. The record is from RNAcentral.